Molecule: ribosomal RNA, 253 nt
Filed under: uncultured bacterium
Lineage: Bacteria
Description: partial 16S ribosomal RNA
Rfam family: Bacterial small subunit ribosomal RNA
Source: RNAcentral
UACGUAGGUGGCAAGCGUUAUCCGGAUUUAUUGGGCGUAAAGGGAACGCAGGCGGUCUUUUAGGUCUGAUGUGAAAGCCUUCGGCUUAACCGGAGUAGUGCAUUGGAAACUGGGAGACUUGAGUGCAGAAGAGGAGAGUGGAACUCCAUGUGUAGCGGUGAAAUGCGUAGAUAUAUGGAAGAACACCAGUGGCGAAAGCGGCUCUCUGGUCUGUAACUGACGCUGAGGUACGAAAGCGUGGGUAGCAAACAGG